UACGAAGGGGGCGAGCGUUGUCCGGAGUACUGGGCGUAAAGCGCACGCAGGCGGUCUGCUAAGUUUGGAGUGACAGUUGGUGGCUUAACUGCCAAAGUGCUUCGAAAACUGACAGACUUGAGGGCUUCAGAGGGACACGGAAUUCCGGGUGGAGUGGUGAAAUGCGUAGAGAUCCGGAGGAACACCAAAGGCGAAGGCAGCUCGCUGGGACGUGACUGACGCUGAGACGCGAAAGCGUGGGGAGCAAACAGG
This 252-nucleotide ribosomal RNA is filed under the name uncultured bacterium. RNAcentral's name for it is "partial 16S ribosomal RNA". It matches the Rfam family "Bacterial small subunit ribosomal RNA", at positions 524 to 776 of the family's 1533-position model. The record is from RNAcentral.